CUGGAGGUAUCAGAAGUGCGAAUGCUGACAUAAGUAACGAUAAAGCGGGUGAAAAGCCCGCUCGCCGGAAGACCAAGGGUUCCUGUCCAACGUUAAUCGGGGCAGGGUGAGUCGACCCCUAAGGCGAGGCCGAAAGGCGUAGUCGAUGGGAAACAGGUUAAUAUUCCUGUACUUGGUGUUACUGCGAAGGGGGGACGGAGAAGGCUAUGUUGGCCGGGCGACGGUUGUCCCGGUUUAAGCGUGUAGGCUGGUUUUCCAGGCAAAUCCGGAAAAUCAAGGCUGAGGCGUGAUGACGAGGCACUACGGUGCUGAAGCAACAAAUGCCCUGCUUCCAGGAAAAGCCUCUAAGCAUCAGGUAACAUCAAAUCGUACCCCAAACCGACACAGGUGGUCAGGUAGAGAAUACCAAGGCGCUUGAGAGAACUCG
RNAcentral lists this ribosomal RNA (427 nucleotides) under Escherichia coli. RNAcentral's name for it is "partial 23S ribosomal RNA". It matches the Rfam family "Bacterial large subunit ribosomal RNA", at positions 1273 to 1702 of the family's 2925-position model. Lineage: Bacteria; Pseudomonadati; Pseudomonadota; Gammaproteobacteria; Enterobacterales; Enterobacteriaceae. The record is from RNAcentral.